This 306-nucleotide ribosomal RNA is filed under the name Clavispora lusitaniae. RNAcentral describes it as "eukaryotic LSU rRNA". It matches the Rfam family "Eukaryotic large subunit ribosomal RNA", at positions 1 to 316 of the family's 3401-position model. Lineage: Eukaryota; Fungi; Ascomycota; Pichiomycetes; Serinales; Metschnikowiaceae. The record is from RNAcentral.
UUCGCCCUCAAAUCAGGUAGGACUACCCGCUGAACUUAAGCAUAUCAAUAAGCGGAGGAAAAGAAACCAACAGGGAUUGCCCCAGUAACGGCGAGUGAAGCGGCAAAAGCUCAAAUUUGAAAUCCUGCGGGAAUUGUAAUUUGAAGGUUUCGUGGUCUGAGUCGGCCGCGCCCAAGUCCAUUGGAACAUGGCGCCUGGGAGGGUGAGAGCCCCGUAUGGCGCACGCCGACUCUUUGCACCGCGGCUCCGACGAGUCGAGUUGUUUGGGAAUGCAGCUCUAAGUGGGUGGUAAAUUCCAUCUAAAGC